AGACUCCCUCUCAAAUGGAUAAGGAGGGAGCAGUAACUACCAUGCUUAGUACUAGCAAUGAAAUUAUCCCUCAAAUGGAGACUCCCUCUCAAAUGGAUGAUGAUGGCACAAGUAAUGACUGGACUCCACAAAUGGGUAUGAAAUUUAAUGAUGUAGAUGAGGCAUGGGAGUUUUGGAAGAUGUAUGCAUUAAAAAUUGGUUUUGGUGUACGUGGGAGAGUUACUAACAAAGGGAAGGAUGGUUCCAUAACUUCUACACGUUUUUGUUGCGCAAAAGAAGGACAUCGACAAAAAGAUAUACGGUCGGAAUUAGUAAAAAGCCUAGGCCCGAAACGAGGAUGGACUGCCAUGCCCGAAUGGGAAUCAAAUUAGUUUGAGAGAGUGGUAAAUAUUUUGUGUAUGAUUUUGAGCCAAUGCAUUCCCAUUCACUCCACUUUGCAGAGUGUACUCACUUGAUAUGGUCACAUAGGAAAAUAAGCGACGUCCAAGCUCAGCAAAUUAUGUUGGUCGACAAUGCGGGCCUCACACAAAGACAGCAGCAUGACUUGUCUAGUGUACGAUCUGGGGGAAGAGAAAAUGUUGGUUACACGAGGGUUGAUGUGAAAAACUAUCUUCGCACUAAACGAGGGAGAGGCAUGGAGUUUGGAGACGCAGGAUGUUUAUUGAAAGAUGGACACGUGAAGCAAGAGAUGGAAUACUCGAGAAGCAUGGUUUAGAUACUCGGGGGAAUGGUGACAUGGAUGUUACUUAUAGAUAUAGAGAGGUGUGUCUCGAGUUUGUGAAGAUAGCAGUCAAGGGUUCACAAACUACUCGGAGAUAUGAAUUUAUCAAGAAGAUGAUCUUGACCAUUAACAAAUCUCUCGAUGAAAUGCCACUUGGAGGUGAGUCUUAGAGAAAUUUAACAGGCUUAAGUGAAGAUACAAGUCUCAUUGCAAAAUGUACGGGCCUCAAGAAGAAAGAUGGACGCAAAGGAGGACAGCGACAUAAGAGCUGUCUAGAGAAGAAUAAAAGAAAAGGAAAGAAGCAAGGAGACACACCUCAAGCUUCUUCGCAAGCUUCUUGUGCACCUCAAGUUCUUGGAAGUUACUAUAACUCUCCGGGUUUUUAUAGUAAUCUACUCAGUACGUUUGAGGCACCACGAGACUUCAAUAUGCCUUCCAUGAUAACAUCGCUUGGUGACGGGCUUACGAGCCUGGUUAUGCGAUCCCACCAGCUCCCCCCGAACUUAGAACAUACAGCC
This is a long non-coding RNA of Rhodamnia argentea, 1239 nucleotides long. RefSeq lists it as uncharacterized. NCBI's taxonomy places the organism in Eukaryota, Viridiplantae, Streptophyta, Magnoliopsida, Myrtales, Myrtaceae. The record is from RefSeq and is a predicted model, not a curated record. The transcript is spliced from 5 exons.